AGCGCAGGUGGUUGUAUAAGUCUGAAGUAAAAAGGCAGUGGCUCAACCAUUGUGUGCUUUGGAAACUGUACAACUUGAGUGCAGAAGGGGAGAGUGGAAUUCCAUGUGUAGCGGUGAAAUGCGUAGAUAUAUGGAGGAACACCGGUGGCGAAGGCGGCUCACUGGUCCGGUACUGACGCUGAGGUGCGAAAGCGUGGGGAGCAAACA
This 207-nucleotide ribosomal RNA is filed under the name uncultured bacterium. Its description in RNAcentral is "partial 16S ribosomal RNA". It matches the Rfam family "Bacterial small subunit ribosomal RNA", at positions 568 to 774 of the family's 1533-position model. The record is from RNAcentral.